ACUCAAAUGAAUUGACGGGGGCCCGCACAAGCGGUGGAGCAUGUGGUUUAAUUCGACGCGACGCGAAGAACCUUACCCAGACUUGACAUGCAUCGGACGCGUGUGGAAACACACGUUCCCUUCGGGGCCGAUGUACAGGUGCUGCAUGGCUGUCGUCAGCUCGUGUCGUGAGAUGUUGGGUUAAGUCCCGCAACGAGCGCAACCCUUGUCCAUAGUUGCUAACGGGUAAUGCUGAGCACUCUAUGGAGACUGCCGGUGGUAAACCGGAGGAAGGUGGGGAUGACGUCAAGUCCUCAUGGCCCUUACGUCUGGGGCUACACACGUGCUACAAUGGCCGGUACAAAGGGUUCCGAUACCGCGAGGUGGAGGCAAUCCCAAAAAACCGGUCUCAGUUCGGAUUGCAGUCUGCAACUCGACUGCAUGAAGUUGGAAUCGCUAGUAAUCGCUGAUCAGCAGGCAGCGGUGAAUACGUUCCCGGGCCUUGUACACACCGCCCGU
This 498-nucleotide ribosomal RNA is filed under the name uncultured bacterium. RNAcentral describes it as "partial 16S ribosomal RNA". It matches the Rfam family "Bacterial small subunit ribosomal RNA", at positions 899 to 1397 of the family's 1533-position model. The record is from RNAcentral.